GAAAUGCGAUAAGUAAUGUGAAUUGCAGAAUUCAGUGAAUCAUCGAAUCUUUGAACGCACCUUGCGCUCCUUGGUAUUCCUUGGAGCAUACCUGUUUGAGUAUCAUGAAAUCUUCAAAGUAAAUCUUUUGUUAACUCAAUUGGUUUCUACUUUGGUAUUGGAGGUCUUUGCAGCUUCACACCUGCUCCUCUUUGUUCAUUAGCUGGAUCUCAGUGUUAUGCUUGGUUCCACUCGGCGUGAUAAGUUAUCUAUCGCUGAGGACACUGUAAAAGGUGGCCAAGGUAAAUGCAGAUGAACCGCUUCUAAUAAUCCAUUGACUUGGACAAUACUUUUAUGAUCUGAUCUCAAAUCAGGUAGGACUACCCGCUGAACUUAAGC
This 378-nucleotide unclassified non-coding RNA is filed under the name plant metagenome. RNAcentral's name for it is "partial contains 5.8S ribosomal RNA, internal transcribed spacer 2, and large subunit ribosomal RNA". The stretch from base 1 to 105 matches the Rfam family "5.8S ribosomal RNA", at positions 50 to 154 of the family's 154-position model. The record is from RNAcentral.